This 497-nucleotide ribosomal RNA is filed under the name uncultured bacterium. RNAcentral describes it as "partial 16S ribosomal RNA". It matches the Rfam family "Bacterial small subunit ribosomal RNA", at positions 28 to 507 of the family's 1533-position model. The record is from RNAcentral.
GAUGAACGCUGGCGGCGUGCCUAAUACAUGCAAGUCGAGCGAACAGACGAGGAGCUUGCUCCUCUGACGUUAGCGGCGGACGGGUGAGUAACACGUGGAUAACCUACCUAUAAGACUGGGAUAACUUCGGGAAACCGGAGCUAAUACCGGAUAAUAUAUUGAACCGCAUGGUCCAAUAGUGAAAGACGGUUUUGCUGUCACUUAUAGAUGGAUCCGCGCCGCAUUAGCUAGUUGGUAAGGUAACAGCUUACCAAGGCAACGAUGCGUAGCCGACCUGAGAGGGUGAUCGGCCACACUGGAACUGAGACACGGUCCAGACUCCUACGGGAGGCAGCAGUAGGGAAUCUUCCGCAAUGGGCGAAAGCCUGACGGAGCAACGCCGCGUGAGUGAUGAAGGUCUUCGGAUCGUAAAACUCUGUUAUUAGGGAAGAACAAAUGUGUAAGUAACUAUGCACGUCUUGACGGUACCUAAUCAGAAAGCCACGGCUAACUACGUG